RNAcentral lists this ribosomal RNA (497 nucleotides) under uncultured bacterium. RNAcentral's name for it is "partial 16S ribosomal RNA". It matches the Rfam family "Bacterial small subunit ribosomal RNA", at positions 28 to 507 of the family's 1533-position model. The record is from RNAcentral.
GAUGAACGCUGGCGGCGUGCCUAAUACAUGCAAGUCGAGCGAGCAGACGAGGAGCUUGCUCCUCUGACGUUAGCGGCGGACGGGUGAGUAACACGUGGAUAACCUACCUAUAAGACUGGGAUAACUUCGGGAAACCGGAGCUAAUACCGGAUAAUAUAUUGAACCGCAUGGUUCAAUAGUGAAAGACGGUUUUGCUGUCACUUAUAGAUGGAUCCGCGCCGCAUUAGCUAGUUGGUAAGGUAACGGCUUACCAAGGCAACGAUGCGUAGCCGACCUGAGAGGGUGAUCGGCCACACUGGAACUGAGACACGGUCCAGACUCCUACGGGAGGCAGCAGUAGGGAAUCUUCCGCAAUGGGCGAAAGCUUGACGGAGCAACGCCGCGUGAGUGAUGAAGGUCUUCGGAUCGUAAAACUCUGUUAUUAGGGAAGAACAAAUGUGUAAGUAACUAUGCACGUCUUGACGGUACCUAAUCAGAAAGCCACGGCUAACUACGUG